This 551-nucleotide ribosomal RNA is filed under the name Dacrymyces lacrymalis. RNAcentral's name for it is "eukaryotic LSU rRNA". It matches the Rfam family "Eukaryotic large subunit ribosomal RNA", at positions 55 to 650 of the family's 3401-position model. The record is from RNAcentral. Lineage: Eukaryota; Fungi; Basidiomycota; Dacrymycetes; Dacrymycetales; Dacrymycetaceae.
AGGAAAGAAACUAACAAGGAUUCCCCUAGUAACUGCGAGUGAAGCGGGAAAAGCUCAAAUUUAAAAUCCCUCGGGAAUUGUAAUCUAGAGAAGUGUUUUCGGUCGUUGCCUCGGACAAGUCCUUUGGAACAAGGCGUCAUAGAGGGUGAGAAUCCCGUCCUUGCCGAGCUACCAACGUCUAUGUGAUACACUCUCGAAGAGUCGAGUUGUUUGGGAAUGCAGCUCAAAACGGGUGGUAAACUCCAUCUAAAGCUAAAUAUUGGCGAGAGACCGAUAGCGAACAAGUACCGUGAGGGAAAGAUGAAAAGCACUUUGGACAGAGAGUUAAACAGUACGUGAAAUUGUUGAAAGGGAAACGCUUGAAGUCAGUCGCGUUGCAGGGACUCAGCCGCAAGGUGCAUUUCUCGGUAACGGGUCAACAUCAGUUUCGAGCGCGGGAAAAGGGCUUGGGGAAUGUGGCAGCCUCGGCUGUGUUAUAGCCCCCUGUCGUACACCGCGCCCGGGACUGAGGACCGCUAAUAGGAUGUUGACGUAAUGGCUUUAAGCGACCC